This 254-nucleotide ribosomal RNA is filed under the name uncultured bacterium. RNAcentral's name for it is "partial 16S ribosomal RNA". It matches the Rfam family "Bacterial small subunit ribosomal RNA", at positions 524 to 776 of the family's 1533-position model. The record is from RNAcentral.
UACGGAGGGGGCAAGCGUUGUUCGGAAUUACUGGGCGUAAAGGGCGCGCAGGCGGCUGCUCAAGUCAGGCGUGAAAGGCCUGGGCUCAACCCGGGAAUUGCGCUUGAGACUGGGCUGGCUUGAGUGCGGGAGAGGAUGGUGGAAUUCCGAGUGUAGAGGUGAAAUUCGUAGAUAUUCGGAAGAACACCAGUGGCGAAGGCGACUCGCUGGACAAGUAUUGACGCUGAGGUGCGAAAGCGUGGGGAGCAAACAGG